This 269-nucleotide ribosomal RNA is filed under the name uncultured prokaryote. RNAcentral describes it as "partial 16S ribosomal RNA". It matches the Rfam family "Bacterial small subunit ribosomal RNA", at positions 524 to 792 of the family's 1533-position model. The record is from RNAcentral.
UACGGAGGAUCCGAGCGUUAUCCGGAUUUAUUGGGUUUAAAGGGUGCGCAGGCGGGAGAUUAAGUCGGCGGUGAAAUUUUGCAGCUCAACUGUAAAAGUGCCUUCGAAACUGGUUUCCUUGAGUGUGGAUGAAGUAGGCGGAAUUUGUGGUGUAGCGGUGAAAUGCAUAGAUAUCACGAGGAACUCCGAUUGCGCAGGCAGCUUACUAAACCAUAACUGACACUCAGGCACGAAGGCGUGGGGAUCAAACAGGAUUAGAUACCCUGGUA